RNAcentral lists this unclassified non-coding RNA (242 nucleotides) under Hevea brasiliensis (rubber tree). Lineage: Eukaryota; Viridiplantae; Streptophyta; Magnoliopsida; Malpighiales; Euphorbiaceae. The record is from RNAcentral.
AGACCAAAGCUUUGUUCUGAGCCUGGCGCCUCCCGUGGCAAAAGAACUGUGCCAGGGCACGCGAAUGUUGCAAUCAGAGAGGAGGAUGCACUUUUAUCGGGUGGAUUUGCAGAGAAAGUAAAAACUGCAGAAAAGCCAAAGAGGAACAUGGUUAAAUCACAUUUGAGAACCAAGACGGUAGCUAAGGAAAAAAUGACUGUAAAGGAAUCUGAAGGUUCACAUAGAAGAAUCACAUCCAAGGG